RNAcentral lists this long non-coding RNA (437 nucleotides) under Panax ginseng (ginseng). RNAcentral's name for it is "long non-coding RNA (PGIN_LNC000002)". The record is from RNAcentral. Lineage: Eukaryota; Viridiplantae; Streptophyta; Magnoliopsida; Apiales; Araliaceae.
CGUACACGGUCUCGGGAGAGGGAGAUUUGUUUGGACUGGGUUCUUGGAGAGGAGUGACCGAUGCAGAGCUUGGGUGGCUGUCAGGUGUGCGUUUCCUCUUCCUGGACAGAGUUUGGACAGCUUCAUCCUGAUCACCCUCUUCGGCAAUCUGUAUUUCUACAGGCGGUACGAAGGGGGGGAUGACCGAAGAUUGGGGCACCCUAAGCUCUUCGGCGGUCAAAGGCGUUAUUUUACUUUUCAGCUUUUUGGUGCGGAGGAUGCUUCUUCGAUCAGGACGAUCGAGUAGGCCUCCUCGUCGAGGGACGGAUGUGGUGGUUGGCUCAACUUCCGGGGUGACUUCGGAAGGGCUUGGAAAGGGUGUUGUUCUGGGUUUUCUGAUUGCCCUCCUCUUCUGCCGAGGACGGAGGGUCUCUUCCGAAGCAGGAACCUCAUCGGCU